RNAcentral lists this ribosomal RNA (918 nucleotides) under uncultured archaeon. RNAcentral describes it as "partial 16S ribosomal RNA". It matches the Rfam family "Archaeal small subunit ribosomal RNA", at positions 1 to 922 of the family's 1478-position model. The record is from RNAcentral.
UUCCGGUUGAUCCUGCCGGAGGCCAUUGCUAUCGGAGUCCGAUUUAGCCAUGCUAGUCGCACGGGUUUAGACCCGUGGCAGAUAGCUCAGUAACACGUGGCCAAACUACCCUACAGAUCGGCAUAACCUCGGGAAACUGAGGCUAAUACCGAAUAGUGCUCCCAGACUGGAGUGUCGAGAGCGCGAAAUGCGCCAGCGCUGUAGGAUGUGGCUGCGGCCGAUUAGGUAGACGGUGGGGUAACGGCCCACCGUGCCGAUAAUCGGUACGGGUCGUGAGAGCGAGAACCCGGAGACGGAAUCUGAGACAAGAUUCCGGGCCCUACGGGGCGCAGCAGGCGCGAAACCUUUACAAUGCACGAUAGUGCGAUAAGGGGACUCCGAGUGCGAGGGCAUAUAGCCCUCGCUUUUCUGUACCGUAAGGUGGUACAAGAAUAAGAGCUGGGCAAGACCGGUGCCAGCCGCCGCGGUAAUACCGGCAGCUCGAGUGAUGGCCAAUCUUAUUGGGCCUAAAGCGUCCGUAGCUUGCCGUGCAAGUCUUUCGGGAAAUCCAGUGGCUUAACCACUGGGCUUCCGGAGGAAACUGUUCGGCUUGGGACCGGAAGACCCGAAGGGUACGUCUGGGGUAGGAGUGAAAUCCUGUAAUCCUAGACGGACCACCGAUGGCGAAAGCACUUCGGGAGUACGGAUCCGACAGUGAGGGACGAAAGCUAGGGUCUCGAACCGGAUUAGAUACCCGGGUAGUCCUAGCCGUUAACGAUGCUCGCUAGGUUUGACGCAGGCUACGAGCCUGCGUUGUGCCGAAGUGAAGACGUAAGCGAGCCGCCUGGGAAGCACGUCCGCAAGGAUGAAACUUAAAGGAAUUGGCGGGGGAGCACUACAACCGGAGGAGCCUGCGGUUUAAUUGGAUUCAACGCCGGA